Molecule: long non-coding RNA, 450 nt
Organism: Labrus mixtus (cuckoo wrasse)
Lineage: Eukaryota; Metazoa; Chordata; Actinopteri; Labriformes; Labridae
Exons: 2
Source: RefSeq, a predicted model, not a curated record
GGAUGAGCGCGCAGUGCAGCGCCUCCUGUGGUUAAGUCCUGUAGCUUUGAUGAAAUUCUGGCAACUUGUGAGCAAAUAAAACUAAAGAAAUAUCGCUCCUUCGAUCUCUCUUGAAAACCUGCAUUCUGUGUCACCUCUCUCAGGUGUUCAGCCUGUUUGCUGAUGUGAUGUAUUACCAGCGUAAUGCAGGAGCAGCUCGUGCGCUCGGCCACUCGUCUUUUUUAUGAUACGCCCUGCUGAGAAAAUAUAUAUAAGUUAAUUUUUAUAUAUAUUUAGGUUUAAAAUGUAAGGCUUUAAAUUGCUACCACUCUGUGGAUAAAACCACAGAAGAAGAAAAUGGACUUCAGCAUUAAGAUCCUCAGUGUGGAUCAUUUGAUUAUCAGCCUGAAGUCUACAGUUUAGUUUCACAUCAUAUGAAUCUGAACAGAGAAAUUAAACCUGUUGUCUUAC